CCUACGGGAGGCUGCAGUCGAGAAUCAUUCACAAUGGGGGAAACCCUGAUGGUGCGACGCCGCGUGGGGGAAUGAAGGUCUUCGGAUUGUAAACCCCUGUCAUGUGGGAGCAAAUUAAAAAGAUAGUACCACAAGAGGAAGAGACGGCUAACUCUGUACCAGCAGCCGCGGUAAUACAGAGGUCUCACGCGUUGUUCGGAACCACUGGGCGUAAGGCGUGGGUCGGCUGUUUCGUAAGUCGUGUGUGAAAGGCGCGGGCUCAACCCGCGGACGGCACAUGAUACUGCGAGACUCGAGUAAUGGAGGGGGAACCGGAAUUCUCGGUGUAGCAGUGAAAUGCGUAGAUAUCGAGAGGAACACUCGUGGCGAAGGUGGGUUCCUGGACAUUAACGGACGCUGAGGCACGAAGGCCAGGGGAGCGAAAGGGAUUAGAUACCCCAGUAGUC
This 446-nucleotide ribosomal RNA is filed under the name uncultured bacterium. Its description in RNAcentral is "partial 16S ribosomal RNA". It matches the Rfam family "Bacterial small subunit ribosomal RNA", at positions 338 to 795 of the family's 1533-position model. The record is from RNAcentral.